Molecule: long non-coding RNA, 2364 nt
Filed under: Cinara cedri
Lineage: Eukaryota; Metazoa; Arthropoda; Insecta; Hemiptera; Aphididae
Source: RNAcentral
UGAAAAUGAUCCAGAAAUAUUUAAACUUGUGUUUUAUCAAUUAUAAUAUUUCUACUUGAAAAAGGCCAAACAAACUGCACAAGAUGGAUCUGUUCACUCACAACAUGAAAUACUUUCUCAAAUAUAGGUGAACAUAUUAUUGAAAGUUCAUGAAAGUGGGUGUGCAUGGGAUGAAAAGGGACUUCUCGUCCCAUGGACAUCCACUUAUAUAUCUCUCAGUGAAAAUGAUCCAGAAAUACUUAAAACUACCAAACAAACUGAAAAAGAUGGAUCUGUUCACACCCUGAAAUACUUACUCAAAUAUAAGUGAACAUAUUAUUAAAAGUUCAUGAAAGUGGUUGUGCAUGGGGUGUAAAGGGACUUUAUACCCCAUGGACAACCACUUAUAUAUCUUUCAAUGAAAAUGAUCCAGAAAUAUUUAAACUUGUGUUUUAUCAAUUAUAAUAUUUCUACUUGAAAAAGGCCAAACAAACUGCACAAGAUGGAUCUGUUCACUCACAAUAUGAAAUACUUACUCAAAUUUAUGCGAACAUAUUAUUGAAAAUUCAUGAAAGUGGGUGUGCAUGGGGUGAAAAGGGACUUUUCAUCCCAUGGACACCCACUUAUAUAUCUUUCAGUGAAAAUGAUCCAAAAAUACUAAUAACUUGUGUUUUAUUAAUUGUUUAUAAAUUUCUACAUGAAAAAAGCCAAACAAACUGCACAAGAUGGAUCUGUUCACUCACAACAUGAAAUACUUUCUCAAAUAUAGGUGAACAUAUUAUUGAAAGUUCAUGAAAGUGGGUGUGCAUGGGAUGAAAAGGGACUUCUCGUUCCAUGGACAUCCACUUAUAUAUCUUUCAAUGAAAAUGAUCCAGAAAUAUUUAAAACUUGUGUUUUAUCAAUUGUUUAUAGUAUUUCGACUUGUAAACUAUUAAACAAACUGGAAAAGAUGGAUCUAUUCACUCACAACAUGAAAUACUUACUCAAAUAUAUGUGAACUUAUUAUUGAAAAUUCAUGAAAGUGGGUGUGCAUCGGUUGAAAAGAGUCUUUUCGUCCCAUGGACAACCACUUAUAUAUCUUCCAAUGAAAAUGAUCCAGAAAUACUUUAAACUUGUGUUUUAUCAAUUGUUUAUAAUAUUUCCACAUGAUAAAGGUCAAACAAACUGCACAAGAUGGAUCAGUUCAUCCACAACAUAAAACACUUACUCAAAUAUAGGUGAGCAUAUUAUUGAGAGUUCAUGAAAGUGGGUGUGCAUGGGAUGAAAAGGGACUUCUCAUCCCAUGCUCAUCCACUUAUAUAUCUCUCAGUGAAAAUGAUCCAGAAAUACUGAAAACUACCAAACAAACUGGAAAAGAUGGAUCUGUUCACAACCUGAAGUACUUACUCAAAUAUAAGUGAACAUAUUAUUGAAAGUUCAUGAAAGUGGGUGUGCAUGGGAUGAAAAGGGACUUCUUGUCCCAUGGACAUCCACUUAUAUAUCUUUCAGUGAAAAUGAUCCAAAAAUUCUGAAAACCUGUGUUUUAUCAAUUGUGUAUAAUAUUUCUACAUAAAAAAUACCAAACUAACUGCACAAUAUGGAUUUGCAUAUGGAACUUGUUUAAACAACCGUGAAAAUAUUUAUUAUUAAUUCAUAAUGCAGAUUUUCAGUUAUGAAAAAAACGGAUUGGUAUCUUUUGAAAUGAGCUUAUGUAAGUUUUUGUCUUAGAAAGAUAAUGGCAUCGGAAUUUUUUUUUUUCAUGGACACCCACUUAAAUAAUCUUUAUAUUGUCUUAUUUCUGUACUGCUAAAUAAUUGGUUUGUUUUACCUAUACUUUUGGAUAGAAUAGAUUUGUAUAGAACCUUUAGAAUAGAGGAGAGUAAGUCAUUAUUAGAUUGAUCAGUAUUAUGUCUCGAGAAAUUAUAUUCCUUAAUUUAUAUUAUAUUUUAUAACGAAAUGAAAAAUGUUGUUUUUAAACUUUCGAAACUUAAAAACAAAUUCAUUACAUUUGUCUGGUUGUUCUUGUAAUAUGCAUUCUAUCCUAUUAUUUGUAGCAAAAAUGUAUUUAUAAAAAAUUAUGUUAGUAUUUGAAAUGUAUUAGUUCUAAAUUUAAAUUGAUUUAUUCAAAUCUAUAAUAAUUAUAUUAUAUUGUAACGAAAUUUAAAAUUUUUAUUUUUAGUUUAAUUUAAUCUUAAAAAACUAAAACUAAAACAAUUGUAUUAAAUUUGUUCGUCAGUACUUAUCAUUGUGUCUUGUUAUUUGUAAUAUAAAUUUUAUAAUUCUUAUAUUCCUUUUUUGUAUGGAAAUUUUCUAGCACCUUUAUUUUGAAAAAGUGUUUUUAGAAUCAAUCAAUGACAGAUUUUCUAAUUCGUCUAAUUUUAUUUGACACUUGAAACUAGUCAAAAG